Molecule: small nuclear RNA, 23 nt
Filed under: Arabidopsis thaliana (thale cress)
Lineage: Eukaryota; Viridiplantae; Streptophyta; Magnoliopsida; Brassicales; Brassicaceae
Description: snRNA_12217
Source: RNAcentral
UGAUCCUUAGUAAUUUUUCAACC